GAUGAACGCUGGCGGCGUGCCUAAUACAUGCAAGUCGAGCGAACAGACGAGGAGCUUGCUCCUCUGACGUUAGCGGCGGACGGGUGAGUAACACGUGGAUAACCUACCUAUAAGACUGGGAUAACUUCGGGAAACCGGAGCUAAUACCGGAUAAUAUAUUGAACCGCAUGGUUCAAUAGUGAAAGACGGUUUUGCUGUCACUUAUAGAUGGAUCCGCGCCGCAUUAGCUAGUUGGUAAGGUAACGGCUUACCAAGGCAGCGAUGCGUAGCCGACCUGAGAGGGUGAUCGGCCACACUGGAACUGAGACACGGUCCAGACUCCUACGGGAGGCAGCAGUAGGGAAUCUUCCGCAUAGGGCGAAAGCCUGACGGAGCAACGCCGCGUGAGUGAUGAAGGUCUUCGGAUCGUAAAACUCUGUUAUUAGGGAAGAACAAAUGUGUAAGUAACUAUGCACGUCUUGACGGUACCUUAUCAGAAAGCCACGGCUAACUACGUG
This 497-nucleotide ribosomal RNA is filed under the name uncultured bacterium. RNAcentral's name for it is "partial 16S ribosomal RNA". It matches the Rfam family "Bacterial small subunit ribosomal RNA", at positions 28 to 507 of the family's 1533-position model. The record is from RNAcentral.